AACACUGUUAACCUGCGGUACCUGCGGAAGGAUCAUUAUUGAAUAAAUCUGAUGUGGUUGUAGCUGGCUCUCCGGAGCAUGUGCACGCCCGUCACCUUUAUCUCUCCACCUGUGCACACACUGUAGUCCUGGAUACCUCUCGCCGCAAGGCGGAUGCGAGGCUUGCUGUGUCUUUGCAAGAAGACCGGCUCGCUUCGAAUUUCCAGGUCUACGAUACUUAUACACCCCAAACUGAAUGUU
RNAcentral lists this unclassified non-coding RNA (240 nucleotides) under soil metagenome. Its description in RNAcentral is "partial contains 5.8S ribosomal RNA, internal transcribed spacer 2, and large subunit ribosomal RNA". The record is from RNAcentral.